UUGCUUUAGCGGUUCUUGAGGGCAACACACAGCCAGGAGUUUGGUUUCAGAAGAGCCAGAGGGAAUACCAAUCGAAGCAAGGAAGCUGCUUCUUGAGCGUGCAUCUCAAGGGACAAGUAACUUCGUGAUGAACAAGCCUUCCUGGAUGGUAGAAAUUGAUCCAAAGGAAGUCAUCCUAGGAAUUUAUGUGUGAGAAGAUAUAAAUGUGCUUAAAUUUCCUGGAUGCUGGACAAUGGCCAACUAAAUAUUGGAGUAAUUUACCAUCUGCGAGAAGUUGAAUG
Setaria italica (foxtail millet) is the source of this 281-nucleotide long non-coding RNA. RefSeq lists it as uncharacterized. The record is from RefSeq and is a predicted model, not a curated record. Lineage: Eukaryota; Viridiplantae; Streptophyta; Magnoliopsida; Poales; Poaceae. The transcript is spliced from 3 exons.